UCCCUACGGGGGGCAGCAGUGGGGGAUAUUGCACAAUGGGGGAAACCCUGAUGCAGCGACACCGCGUGGGUGAAGAAGCGCUUCGGCGUGUAAAGCCCUAUCCGUGGGGAAGAAAAAGGACGGUACCCAAAGAAGAAGCACCGGCUAAAUACGUGCCAGCAGCCGCGGUAAUACGUAUGGUGCAAGCGUUAUCCGGAUUUACUGGGUGUAAAGGGAGCGCAGGCGGCACGGCAAGCCUGAUGUGAAAGCCCGCGGCCCAACCGCGGGACUGCAUUGGGAACUACCGGGCUGGAGUGCCGGAGCGG
Molecule: ribosomal RNA, 305 nt
Filed under: uncultured bacterium
Lineage: Bacteria
Description: bacterial SSU rRNA
Rfam family: Bacterial small subunit ribosomal RNA
Source: RNAcentral